RNAcentral lists this ribosomal RNA (253 nucleotides) under uncultured bacterium. RNAcentral describes it as "partial 16S ribosomal RNA". It matches the Rfam family "Bacterial small subunit ribosomal RNA", at positions 524 to 776 of the family's 1533-position model. The record is from RNAcentral.
UACGAAGGGUGCAAACGUUGCUCGGAAUUAUUGGGCGUAAAGCGCACGUAGGCGGAUUGUUAAGUCAGGGGUGAAAUCCUGGAGCUCAACUCCAGAACUGCCUUUGAUACUGGCAAUCUUGAGUCCGGAAGAGGUGAGUGGAACUCCUAGUGUAGAGGUGGAAUUCGUAGAUAUUAGGAAGAACACCAGUGGCGAAGGCGGCUCACUGGUCCGGUACUGACGCUGAGGUGCGAAAGCGUGGGGAGCAAACAGG